CAAGAAACAACAGAAAAUAAACCAAAAAUAUACAGAAAAAUCAUAGAAAUAGUUUUGAAGAACACUGGUUAAACUUAAAGGCUGUUGACUAUGCAUCAUAAAUACUUGUGAAUGGUUUAACUUUCUUCUGAGCUUCAUGUCAAACUCUCAAGCUGUAAGCCUGACGCUGGAAGAUCUGAUUUACUAGGCCUAGAUCACAAAGCCCCACUACAGGUACUACAGAACUGAAAAAGAGACUGUCUGCCCCACUCUGGUUUUCAGUGUAGAAACAAAGGCCCUGCUGGUAAACUUUCUUGGAACCACAAAGGAAUAAGAAGAACAUUUGAAUAUUGACAACUAAAACAAAUGCUCACUGUAAUCCACUCUCUCAAUUGUUCAGCAUUGACACUAUUCUUCUUUUCAUAUUAGAGUUCAGAAAAGAAUCCCAUACUGUAGCAGAAGGCAACUGUGUCUCAUGUAUACUUAUACUCUUCUUCAAGAGAGGAGGCUCCAGUGGAAGUGUAGAUUGCAAAAUGAAGCAGAG
RNAcentral lists this long non-coding RNA (523 nucleotides) under Heterocephalus glaber (naked mole-rat). RNAcentral describes it as "lncRNA (ENSHGLG00100048407.1)". Lineage: Eukaryota; Metazoa; Chordata; Mammalia; Rodentia; Bathyergidae. The record is from RNAcentral.